This is a non-coding RNA of Camelina sativa (false flax), 513 nucleotides long. The record is from RefSeq and is a predicted model, not a curated record. Lineage: Eukaryota; Viridiplantae; Streptophyta; Magnoliopsida; Brassicales; Brassicaceae.
CUGAUAUGGUUGCAAGCCUCGAGAAGGCGGGUCUCUCUUUCGCAGCAAAAGAUGAAACUGGGGAGCGCAUGGAGAUAGUAGAAGUUCCAAGCCACCCUUUUUUCAUAGGUGCUCAAUUCCAUCCCGAGUACAAAUCGAGUCCCGGGAAAGUAUCUCCUCUGUUCUUAGGACUACUGGCAGCAUCCUGUGGUGAGCUAGAAGCAGUCCUGAAUCCAGUUUCCAUUCACCAAGACAACCAAACUAUGGUACUUGGAAAAGAAGCAAGGGUUGGUCCAAAAAACUGGUUUUAGUAAUGAAACCAUAGAGCUCAAAAACAUAUUGUCCAAUCUGCAAUAAAGCUCAACUGUCCGAGAUAUGUUUUUUUUCCUGGAAGAAUAAAGAAAUGAAGCCAUUGGCCCAUAUGUCAAAUAAGUUAUAUGUAUAUGUGUAGAAGCAACAUUUAAUACUUGGAGAUUUACUAGAUAUCAUAUAAUUUAAGUGAUAUUAUCAGAACUAUAUAAAUCUUUCAUUUAU